RNAcentral lists this ribosomal RNA (446 nucleotides) under uncultured bacterium. RNAcentral describes it as "partial 16S ribosomal RNA". It matches the Rfam family "Bacterial small subunit ribosomal RNA", at positions 338 to 795 of the family's 1533-position model. The record is from RNAcentral.
CCUACGGGGCGCAGCAGUCGAGAAUCAUUCACAAUGGGGGAAACCCUGAUGGUGCGACGCCGCGUGGGGGAAUGAAGGUCUUCGGAUUGUAAAUCCCUGUCAUGUGGGAGCAAAUUAAAAAGAUAGUACCACAAGAGGAAGAGACGGCUAACUCUGUGCCAGCAGCCGCGGUAAUACAGAGGUCUCAAGCGUUGUUCGGAAUCACUGGGCGUAAAGCGUGCGUAGGCUGUUUCGUAAGUCGUGUGUGAAAGGCGCGGGCUCAACCCGCGGACGGCACAUGAUACUGCGAGACUAGAGUAAUGGAGGGGGAACCGGAAUUCUCGGUGUAGCAGUGAAAUGCGUAGAUAUCGAGAGGAACACUCGUGGCGAAGGCGGGUUCCUGGACAUUAACUGACGCUGAGGCACGAAGGCCAGGGGAGCAAACAGGAUUAGAUACCCGAGUAGUC